RNAcentral lists this ribosomal RNA (681 nucleotides) under uncultured bacterium. RNAcentral describes it as "bacterial SSU rRNA". It matches the Rfam family "Bacterial small subunit ribosomal RNA", at positions 9 to 686 of the family's 1533-position model. The record is from RNAcentral.
GAGUUUGAUCCUGGCUCAGGAUGAACGCUAGCGGCAGGCUUAACACAUGCAAGUCGAACGGUAACAUUGGUGCUUGCACCAGAUGACGAGUGGCGGACGGGUGCGUAACGCGUAUGCAACUUGCCUUUAACAAAGGGAUAGCUCAGAGAAAUUUGAAUUAAUACCUUAUAAUAUCUAUGAUUCGCAUGUUUUAUAGAUUAAAGAAUUUCGGUUAAAGAUGGGCAUGCGUGAUAUUAGCUAGUUGGUAAGGUAAUGGCUUACCAAGGCAACGAUAUCUAGGGGGUCUGAGAGGAUGAUCCCCCACACUGGUACUGAGACACGGACCAGACUCCUACGGGAGGCAGCAGUGAGGAAUAUUGGACAAUGGGCGAAAGCCUGAUCCAGCCAUGCCGCGUGUAGGAUGAAUGCCCUAUGGGUUGUAAACUACUUUUAUAUAGGAAGAAACCUCUUUAUUUAUAGAGAGCUGACGGUACUAUACGAAUAAGCAUCGGCUAACUCCGUGCCAGCAGCCGCGGUAAUACGGAGGAUGCAAGCGUUAUCCGGAUUUAUUGGGUUUAAAGGGUUCGUAGGCGGGAAAAUAAGUCAGUGGUGAAAGCCUGCAGCUCAACUGCAGAACUGCCAUUGGUACUGUUUUUCUUGAAUAUAUAUGAAGUGGGCGGAAUGCGUCAUGUAGCGGUGAAU